UCUCUCAAGUCUGAUUGUCUCAUCUAAUUUCUGAAAACCCAAACCUCCUUAAAACCUUCAACCCAGUCUCUGCGACGAUCGACGGCAGCGGCACGACGACCUCGUCUCGUUCUCGCAACGUCACUCUGUCAGUCACUCAAUCUCGCUUUUGGUGGUGGAGCAGAAGAAAGAAAAUAAAAAAAUAAGAAGGGGUCGGGAAAGAGAGGAGAAAGAAGAGAAUAGAGGGAUGUUGAGAAAGAUAGAGAAGAAAAGAAGAAGAAAUAGGAAGAGGGAAGAAGAAGAUGUUUAUCUUCCGGAGGGUUGCUUUCUAAGGGAGAGGAGAUCAUAAACGAGAGAGAAGGAGAGAGACGAGUUUGUUUGAAGUUAAAAGGCAAGAACAUGGUGUUGGGUUCAGUUUCUUUUUGUUGAAGCUUGUAGGAGAAACAUCAAGUUCAAUGGUUCAAUUGCAUGUUCAAAGGUGGAAUCACAUCUUGGUGAUGUUGCUCCAUUGCAACCUGAAGGUCCCGGGUUUGAAGGGGGAGAUAGCCUCUCCCAGAUGGGGUCAACAGUCUCUAGGCUCUGCAAUGGCUGGAUUCCCAUGCAUAUUGGGCUGUCUGUAAAAUAGACGAGAAGGCAAUCAAUGAGGUAUUUCUGAAAGUCCUGGAUAAUUAGAUCAAAUGGUGCAUAUACCUGCGGAUCUGGCUUCACAAGCAAUUAAUCGGGACAUAAACUUUUUCUGGUGUCAUUGUACUUUCUGAUAUGGGGUGAGGCUGCAAAUGUCCACUUUCUUCCUGAAUGCAUUUGCUACAUGUUUGACCAUAUGGCGAAGGAGUUAGAUGCUAUUCCUGCUGCUGGCUGCACAAUAGAAAAUGAUUAUGUGUCCUUCCUCAAGCAGAUUGUUUAUCCUAUGCAUGAAACAUUGGCAGCGGAAGCUGCUAGAAACAAUAAUGGGAAAGCUGCGCAUUUCAGCGUGGCGGAAUUAUGACGACUUCAAUGAAUACUUUUGCUUUGUUUGCUUGUCAUUCAAUUAUGGAUGAACAAUGUGAUUCCUUCUUUUUGGUGUGUGAAGCGUCUGUGGAAUAUGCAGGUCACCUGCUUGUUUAGUUGAGCUAAGAGAUUGGAUGAAGAUUGUGGAAUCGUAAGUCGCUUGUAUUGAUCAUACAUAUUAGGUUGUUGCUGAAGGAAAGCAUCAUUUUUGUGCUUCUCUGCUGGUCCAAUAUUCAUGCACUGUGUGGCAUGUUUUGUAACAAAUAGUUUGUAUUUGUAUCAGCUUUUGAUGUCCCAGGUAGAUGGGCAUGCAUUUGAAUGCUUUUCUUCUUUUAAUGUUGGCUUGAAUGAUUGGGAAAUCCUCCCUUUUAACGUUUGAAUGCUUUUCUUCAAAUAGUAUGAGUUGGAUUACUCUUUA
This is a long non-coding RNA of Rosa chinensis, 1384 nucleotides long. RefSeq lists it as uncharacterized. The record is from RefSeq and is a predicted model, not a curated record. NCBI's taxonomy places the organism in Eukaryota, Viridiplantae, Streptophyta, Magnoliopsida, Rosales, Rosaceae. The transcript has 8 exons.